RNAcentral lists this small nucleolar RNA (184 nucleotides) under Aspergillus glaucus CBS 516.65. RNAcentral's name for it is "Small nucleolar RNA snR80". It matches the Rfam family "Small nucleolar RNA snR80". The record is from Rfam by way of RNAcentral. Lineage: Eukaryota; Fungi; Ascomycota; Eurotiomycetes; Eurotiales; Aspergillaceae.
CAACCUUUGCACACUCUGGCCCUUACCGUCCCUUCCCGCCUUCGGGCCUGGAUUGGACCUUCAUGUGGUAUAGGCUUAUUUUUCGCAAAGAAGAUAAAUCUUCGACCCGCUACUCACCGCGGUAACCUCUGUGGCAAGCUUGCUUGUCCUUGUGGUUACAGUGGUCCAUGUUUUCGGUCAACAU